This 257-nucleotide ribosomal RNA is filed under the name Coriobacteriia bacterium. Its description in RNAcentral is "partial 23S ribosomal RNA". It matches the Rfam family "Bacterial large subunit ribosomal RNA", at positions 2671 to 2925 of the family's 2925-position model. Lineage: Bacteria; Bacillati; Actinomycetota; Coriobacteriia. The record is from RNAcentral.
GCUGUCCCUAGUACGAGAGGACCGGGAUGGACGAACCUCUGGUGUACCAGUUGUCGCGCCAGCGGCACCGCUGGUUAGCUACGUUCGGUCGGGAUAACCGCUGAAAGCAUCUAAGCGGGAAGCCCAUCUCAAGAUGAGGUCUCUCACCGGGUCAACCGGGUAAGGCCCCUCGUAGACUACGAGGUUGAUAGGCCGCAGGUGUACGCACAGCAAUGUGUUCAGCCGAGCGGUACUAAUAGGCCGAGGUCUUGACUUUC